RNAcentral lists this small RNA (222 nucleotides) under Pan troglodytes (chimpanzee). RNAcentral's name for it is "sense intronic". The record is from RNAcentral. Lineage: Eukaryota; Metazoa; Chordata; Mammalia; Primates; Hominidae.
GAAAAGCAGCUGUGAAGUCAUAAUUAUGUUCACUUCCCACUGGCAACUGGCAAGCCCUUUAUUUUUGUGCAUUCGGAACUCACCAAGAAUAAAUAAAGUCCAUUCCCUCCUUGAGGGGCUAUUCUGCCAUUCCAUCUAGGAUUUAAAAGUUUGCCAAUUCCUAAAACAUCUAUUGUUAUAAAUAGUCUUGUGUCUUUCACAAAGCGGACUUUACAAAAUAAG